This 109-nucleotide ribosomal RNA is filed under the name Olea europaea subsp. europaea. RNAcentral's name for it is "SSU_rRNA_eukarya". Lineage: Eukaryota; Viridiplantae; Streptophyta; Magnoliopsida; Lamiales; Oleaceae. The record is from RNAcentral.
UUAAUUUGACUGAGCACGAGGAAACUUACCAAGUCCAGACAUAGUUAGGAUUGACAGACUAAGAGCUCUUUCUAUUUUUUUUUAUCGAUAAAUGUAAAUAUCAUUGAUA